Molecule: ribosomal RNA, 253 nt
Filed under: uncultured bacterium
Lineage: Bacteria
Description: partial 16S ribosomal RNA
Rfam family: Bacterial small subunit ribosomal RNA
Source: RNAcentral
UACAGAGGGGGCAAGCGUUAUUCGGAAUUAUUGGGCGUAAAGGGCGCGUAGGCGGCUUUGCAAGUGACGGGUGAAAGCCCUCGGCUUAACCGAGGAACUGCCUGUCAGACUGUAAGGCUUGAGACCGGGAGAGGUGAGUGGAAUUCCCAGUGUAGCGGUGAAAUGCUUAGAUAUGACAUAGAACACCAAUUGCGAAGGCAGCUUGCUACACAGUUAUUGACGCUGAGGCACGAAAGCGUGGGGAUCAAACAGG